GGGCGGCGGGGGCGGCGGGGACCCUGCGCCCCGCCCCGGCCUUUCUCGGGGUCCUCCGGGAGGGGCUGAGGGGCGCCGCGAGCUCAGCCCGGGCGUGGGCGCGGCCUCGGCGUCCCCGCCUGCUCCUCGGCCCUGUUCGGGGCUGCUGAGUCACGGGGCUCGGGUGGGGGACUAGGCCCGCGGGGCCGAGCCCCGGGCCGGGAGUGCGCCUGUGAGUGCGCGCGUGACAGUGAGAUGGUGAGUGCGUCCGUGGUUGCGAGAUGGUGUGCGUCAGUGUGAUUGUGAGUGUGAGACGGUGAUUGUGGCAGACGGUGUGAGAGUGUGAGCGUCAGUGAGCGCGUGACAGUGAGAUGGUGAGUGCGUCCGUGGUUGUGUGAGGUGGUGUGUGUCAGUGUGAGUGAUUGUGAGACGGUGUGUGAGUGUGUGACAGAUGAUGUGUCUGGUUGUGUGAGACGGUGUGUGAGGGUGAGAGUGAGCAUCAGCGCGCGACAGAUGGUGAGUGCAUCCGUGGUUGUGUGAGGUGGUGUCAGUGAUUGUGUGAGAUGGUGUGUGUCAGUGUAUGGUGAGUGAGUGUGAGCAUCAGUGAGCGUGUGACAGUGAGAUCGUGAGUGCAUCAGUGGUUGUGUGUGAGGUGGUGUGUGUCGGUGUGAGUGAUUGUGAGACAGUGUGUGAGCGUGUGACAGUGAGAUGGUGUGUCUGGUUGUGAGUGUGAUGGUGUGUGUCAGUGUGAGUGAUUGUGAGACGGAAGGUGAGGGUGAGUGUGAGCAUGUGACAGUGAGAUGGUGAGUGCAUCUGUGGUUGUGAGUGCGAUGGUGUGUGUCAGUGUGAGUGAUUGUGAGACGGAAGGUGAGGGUGAGUGUGAGCAUGUGACAGUGAGAUGGUGAGUGCAUCUGUGGUUGUGAGUGCGAUGGUGUGUGUCAGUGUGAGUGAUUGUGAGACGGAAGGUGAGGGUGAGUGUGAGCAUGUGACAGUGAGAUGGUGUGAGUGUGAGACGGUGUGUGAGUGUGAACGUCAGUGCGUGACAGUGAGAUGCUGAGUGCGUCCGUGGUUGUGUGUGAGGUGGUGUGUGUCAGUGAUUGUGUGAGGGUGAGCGUCAGUGAGCGUGUCAGGGUCACAGUGCAGGAAGGUAGCUGUCCAUCGGGACAUGGGUGUGGCUGAGGGAGUGCAGUUGUGUCUGGGUGACCGUGGGAGGGAGUUGUGUGAGUGACGGUUGUGUGUGCAAGUGUGUGUGUGUGAGAAACCGUCCGUGUUUUGGGGCCUUACUGGCAGAUUGAGAUAACAAACAAGGGAACGCACAGACUGCAGGUGGCUGGCACCCGGGGGGGGCGUGUGAGGUGUGGCCCCCCACGUGUGGCCCCCGCGGGAUUUCUGGCCUGAGGUGGGUGCUGAGCCCGCGCCCAGGGAAGGAAGCUGUGCUGGCUGUCACAGCGUUUGCCGAGACAAACUGCCCGGGCACGCGUCGCACGCAGAGGGGUGCUGUGUCUCAGUCUAGCACCCCAGGGCACGGGAGGGCGGCGGCCAAAGACAGGAUGCCGUAACUAAAGCUGCAGCUCUGGGGCGUAUGAAAGUUGCUGGUUCUGUUUUUUACCUUUUCCCCAAAGUCACCCUGUUUUGAAAAACUCCAGAGCCUUUUCCACACAUGUGCUUGACUGCUUGGAAGGCCCGGUCUGAACAGACAUCGCGAAGGUCCGCGGAGACUCGUGGCUGCUCUUAGUGCCCGGAAGGCGGGAGAGGACAACGUGAGAUAAUUUUUCAAUCGCAGAGCGCCUCUCCUAGCCAGCCCCUCCUGACUGUGGUACACGCGUCACUGACACAGCUCACCUGCGGAGAGUGCCGGGAGCCUGAAGUGCUUCGCAGAGCUGCGCGCCCACUGCCGGCUCUGGGAACGGCGCAGAACCCGGCCCGCCCGCCGCCCGCCGCCCGCCGCCCAGAAGCGCCGCUUUCUGUCUUGCUGGUUUCCCGGCUGAGCUGCAGCCCGAUGAGGUCCCUCCUCCCGGCCCGCGUGUCCCCACGCCGGCCGCCUCCCCUCCGCUUCCUCAGCUUUUCUCAUGGGGACAUCCAGGUGUUAACAAAAGUGCAGAGUUGUGCACGGAGCCCCAGCUUCCACAAAGGGUCCUGGCCACGCUUACCGGCUGCGCACGCUCCGUCCUCCACCUCUCUCCGACCACCUUGUCGUUAUUUUGUAGUAAAUAACACAAAAUAUGUGAGGAAAACUCCCCAUUUUAGUGUAAUCCAGGUAGAACUCGAGGGUUAACAGUGCUUGUAUUCUCAUUUAAGAAAUCUUGGGGCAGCGCUGUGGCACGGGGUGGGGGGGUUAAGCAUCCCAUGUGAGCACUGACUGGAGCACAUGCUGCCGCUAAUGCAACUGGGAAAGCGGUGGGGGAGGCCCCAGUGCUCAGACCCCUGCACCCGCGAGGGAGACCCGGAUGGAGCUCCUGGCUCCUGGCUUCAGCCUGGCCCAGCCUUGGCAGCUGCAGCCAUUUGAGGCGUGAACCAGUGGACGGAAUCUCUCUCUCUCUCUCUUCCUCUCUGUGUAACUCUGCCUUUCAAAUAAAUAAAAUGAAUCUUUAAAAAUAUAUACACAAGCCAGCACCGCGGCUCACUAGGCUAAUCCUCUGCCUGCGGCGCCGGCACUCCAGGUUCUAGUCCCGGUCGGGGCGCCGGAUUCUGUCCCGGUUGCCCCUCUUCCAGGCCAGCUCUCUGCUGUGGCCCGGGAGUGCAGUGGAGGAUGGCCCAAGUGCUUGGACCCUGCACCCCAUGGGAGACCAGGAAAAGCACCUGGCUUCUGCCUUCGGAUCAGCGCGGUGCGCCGGCCGCGGCGGCCAUUGGAGGGUGAACCAACGGCAAAGGAAGACCUUUCUCUCUGUCUCUCUCUCUCACUGUCCACUCUGACUGUCAAAGAAAUAUGUAUAUAUACACACACAGAAAUCUUCAAGGACCUGGAUACCCCCCCCAACGAUGCGCCCGCCAGCCUUUGGUGACUGAGACUAAGCGCCCAGCACAGGACACCCAUGAGGAGGGAGUGGACUACAGUGUAUGGCUCUGGGGUCCACGUCCAGGGGCUGUGGAGCGUGCGCAGAGCAAGGGCCCAGGGGGAGCUGGGGAGCAGAGAGGCAGGGGGCACGCUUGUCAUCCGUGCCUGUGUGAUCUCUCCUUGUCCAGCCACGGGAGCUGGCCGUGGGGGUCCACCCCUACACUAACGCAGCCUGGUCACAUCUUAGAGCCCCGGCCGUCAGGCACCAUUCGUUAACAGGACUAAAUUUCUACCCUCAAUCUAUUAACCUUAACGCACAGCUGGUCUGCCCGCCACAGCAGGGAUGACCCUGGGAUUCGGUUUCACCUGUCACAGGUCAGUCUGCACCCGGCAGGAGCUGACUCCCGUGUGGUGUGGGGUGGAGGCCACGCUGCAUCCUCACGGCUGCCCGGGGACAGCCCCUGAGUUUCCCGCCUUCCUCGAAGUGCGACCUCCCCACCAAGAGCUGCAGGGCUCUGUUUGGCUCCACGGUGGCCUUGUGGGCUUCACCGUCCAGUUGGUUAGAUUCCCCCAGCAUCUGCGCUGGGCCCCUCUGGCCCUCUGUGCUGCCAUUGACCUUUAGAAUUUUCAGCUGGCUUCUCAGUUUCCACCAGAAAGAGGCGACCACGGAUUUCACUUGUGGCUGCCUCAAAUCUAUGCGAUGCUUUUGGAAGAAAUAACGCCCAUACGUGCUUCCUCGUGCGACGUCUGCUUCCUGAGGUCUCUGUAGAUGUCCUCAGGAGUCUGAUUUGCUACGCAGAGCACGGCACAUCUUUCAUUUAGUGUGUGGCUGGUGUGUGCUUCUUUAGCCGAUUGUUUGUGGCUAGAAUGUGGAAUACAGUUGAUUUUUCUGUACUGGUCUUCUGUCCGAUAUCCAACAACCUUGCGAGCUUCACUACUGUUCUCCAUAGUUUGUGAAUUAUUUUCGAGUUUCCACCGGACAAUCAGGUUCUCUGCGCCCGUGACAGCUUUGCUUCGUAGCUGCCGGUUUAAAUUCCUUUAAGUCCUGUUUCUCGUCGACUUGCACUGGCGAGGAUGCUGGUAUAGUGCGGGUAGGGAGGACGCGAGGACUCUGUCUCGUUCCUGAGCUCUGAGGGGAGGUUUUCAACGCCUCGUCUUUAAGUAAACUGUUCGCUGCACACCCUCUGAGUGCACGUGUUCUUACACUAGAUUCCUCGGCACGCCAGUGCGAGAACAGGUUUUGUAAAAGCACGAGUGGAUUUGGAAUUGGCCGUAAGUUUUCUCUCUACUCAAAUGCUCGUGCGAUGUUUCUUUCACACACAUUAUGUGAUAUUACAGGUUCUUCUUGACUUAUGACGACGAACUUGUAAAUGGAAAAUAUUAUAAAUUAAGAAUGCGCUUAAUAACCUGCCAAGUACACUGCUCAGUGUGCGCGUUCUGAAAUGCGCCUGAACUGGGCCGGAUCUUCUAACACAAAGCCUGCGUCACAACAGAGCCCAGUCGCUCAUCACUGAUUGAACACCUGUAUCCAAAGGCUACAGGCAACACAGCCCACUGUCUCCCCUCCGGCCAGGGGGCUGGCUCAGAGCUGCACCUGCUGCCCAGCACCAGAGAGACGCGGCCCAUGCAAUCACACACCCCAGGCACAGUUCCCACUGCACUGCAUCAAAAAGCAAACCCAUGGUGGGCCAGGGACCGCCUGCACUUGCUAACGUGAUGGAUCACAUCGAGUAGUGAUUAAACACUCACCCAGCCUCACACCCUGGGCAAACCCACUGCAGUUUGCUGUUGACGCUUUGCCCGCCCCGCGAUUUCUGGUUCCUCACAUUUUGUGUGGAUUUCGAUCUCACUUAAUGAGGGAUAUGUCCCUGGUGUUGUCCCUUUCUUCCCUCUCUCGUUAGACACGCUCCUCGGGAUUUCAUAGCCAGAUCAUGCUUGCUGCCAGGCGAGUUAGACAGCGCCUCUCCCUAUUUUCUGGAAGAAUAUUUUACGUGUUAUUUGAUCUUUACUCCUCAGUAAAGCCGCCUGGGCCUAUUUUUACUUAUUUUAGGGGCUUUGGGGAAACUUCUAUUUCUUUACUUAGUACAACAUUUAAAUUUUCUAAUUCUUCUAUAAUCACUUCUAAUACGCUGUGUCCUUCAAGGAAUUUGUCAAUUUCAUCUCUAUUUAAGAUUUAUUUUCACAGAACUAUUUGUGUCUUUUAAAAUAUUGAUAUUUAUUGAGAGACAGACCCUUCCUCUCCUGGUUCACUCUCCAGUGCCCACAAGGCUGGAACUGGAGCCGGGAACACAAGCCAGGUCGCCCACGUGGGCGGCAGGAACGCAGCUCUCCCAUCACGGGGCUCGCGGGGCUGGGGCGGGAGCUGAGAGCGGGCGUCCCACGUGGGCUGGGGCGCCUCGACCAGCUCUGCAGUGCUGGGCUGUGUCUGCCGCUCCUACCUGUGUCCUUCUCUCCUUUUGUUUAACUUAUUUGAGAGGUGGGGGUGGGGGGAGGGAGAGACAGAGAUUCAGAGGUUCGGAGAGCUCCCAUCCGCAGUUUUACUCCCCAGAUGCCCACGAUGGCUGGGCCUGGGCCAGGCUGAAGCCCGGGUUCUGGGUGAGUGGCAGGGACUCGAGCUCUGGGGCCAUCGCCUGCUGGCCCCGGGGUCUGCACUGGCAGGAAGCUGGGCUCCAGGACCAGAGCUGGGAAUUAAGCGCUAGCACUUACCUGUGGGACAAGGGCAGCGCCCGGAACCCCCCGGCUAGCUACGCUGCCCGGUUCUGGUCUCACUCACUACACUACCCGGUCUGGUCUACUCACUGAGGCACUAGCUACGCUGCCCAGUUCUGGUCUCACUCCCUGAGGCACUAGCUACGCUGUGUGGCUCUGGUCUCACUGAGGCACUAGCUACACUGCCCGGUUCUGGUCUCACUCCCUGAGGCACUAGCUACACUGCCCGGUUCUGGUCUCACUCGCUGAGGCACUAGCUACGCUGUG
Molecule: non-coding RNA, 5950 nt
Organism: Oryctolagus cuniculus (rabbit)
Lineage: Eukaryota; Metazoa; Chordata; Mammalia; Lagomorpha; Leporidae
Source: RefSeq, a predicted model, not a curated record